Molecule: long non-coding RNA, 832 nt
Organism: Haemorhous mexicanus (house finch)
Lineage: Eukaryota; Metazoa; Chordata; Aves; Passeriformes; Fringillidae
Exons: 3
Source: RefSeq, a predicted model, not a curated record
CAGGAAAAAAUUUGAUUCACAGUUUUUUCAAGAUUUCACCCGUCUCUGAGCUGUGAUGUUGUUUCAGCACAGGCUCUGAGAUGCCUGGGGACCUCAGCCUCACCAGUCCUGUCUCAGCAGUCAAAGAGUUGGCACUCUGUUAAUUGGGUGCCCACAGGCACAUUUUAAAUAACCUCAUCAGUCUGGAUAAUUCUUAUUGGUUACUGCUUCUCAGACCUGCCAGAAUUUAAAAAAAGGGAAAGAUUCUCAGGAGACUUUCCCCAGCAAAACCAGGAUAAUAUUAUUGGCACUUACAUAACAUUGCUGAACAUGGAGUUUAUCCAUGAUGCAGUCCUGUAGAGAUGCUCUCCCAUCCAAGACUAUUAACUGCUCUUUAAUAAUGUUACAAACUGGCUAGAAUUUGUCAUUGACUUCCACAGAUUCCCAGGAGUUUAUGACUGAAUUGGCCAACUUUCAUUUGGUCAUGGAAAGGGAGCAAAAUAAGAGGCACAAGAAGUUCAGCGGUGUCUUUGGUAGGUAGUGCUCUAGCAGGGAGACAUUCAGAACUUCAUCCACAGUGUCAAAUGGAGCUAACUGGAACCUUCAUCUCCCUCAUGUCCCUGUUAGAUAUAUUGCUGGCAUCCAUCCAUCCUUCCAUCCAUCCAUCCAUCCAUCCAUCCAUCCAUCCAUCCAUCCAUCCAUCCAUCCAUCCAUCCAUCCCAAUGGGAUGAUGAGUGCUGGGGUGAGUGAGCCCAGCUUGUUGGUCUGGAUAUGAGCCCAUGGCUGAUCUGUACCAUAGAAAAAAGGUCUUGACUCCCUUUGGGAUGAACUGCAAAAUAAAAGCCUGAAUUCA